CAGGGAGCAGAUUAUGCGUCACCCGAUCUGUUUGAUCAUAGUCAAUAAACCGUGUCACCACGUUAUUGACGUCAUCAGCUUUUUUCUGUGCCUCAAUCUGCAACAGAGUGUAAAACCUUUGCUGAUCUGAUUCGCGAAAGAGCAGAAUGAACCAGUUUCUCUAGUUCCAUAAGGUCAGUCACACUCAGAUGCUCAAGUUCAGAAACACCAAAGUGGCUGCAAUGAAAUUUAAUUAGAUCAGUGAUUCGUUCAUACCUUAACGUUGCAGGAAGACGAAUACAAAGAAUCACCUUUGGACCAAUUGAGAAAACGCUUCAUCAGACCAGAUAUCUGCAAUUUCAAAGCGGAGUCCCUGCGACCAAAUAAUAAUUAUAAUAUCAAUGAUCUCGGUUGUGAUAUGUUUUUCCAAGCAUCAGUUCAACAUUUUGCAUAAUUUGCUUCAAAUAAUUCCCCUAAAACAACAAUAUUUUAUGUAUCACUUUCUUUUGCUCUGCCACCUUUUAGACUAAAAGAAAUUAAAAUACAAGCUUGGCGAAGCUAAGCACAAUAAAGCAUAUUUUCAUUUGAAGUGAGAGAGAGAGAGAGAACCCGAGAUAAAAGCAACAAAACUUGGAUAUGCAAGUUUCGGUGUAUUGAGAACUUUACCUUUAUUGUAACAUUAAGAAAUGUAAUAUCGACACCCCUAGCUUUCAUAUUGAAAGUCUCCUACUUGUUAUUUUAGUUCCCAUGUUAGCCACACUAUCUAUAUGAUACCUUGACAAUAUUACGUGCUC
Long non-coding RNA from Glycine soja, 773 nucleotides. RefSeq lists it as uncharacterized. The record is from RefSeq and is a predicted model, not a curated record. NCBI's taxonomy places the organism in Eukaryota, Viridiplantae, Streptophyta, Magnoliopsida, Fabales, Fabaceae. The transcript has 2 exons.